GGCUUCAUAGCUCAGUUGGAUAGAGCGUCGCACCGUUAUCGCGAGGUCACGGGUUCAAACCCCGUUGUUGAGGUCU
RNAcentral lists this transfer RNA (76 nucleotides) under Acropora cervicornis. RNAcentral describes it as "tRNA-Asn". The stretch from base 6 to 67 matches the Rfam family "tRNA", at positions 6 to 65 of the family's 71-position model. From Rfam's summary of the family: Transfer RNA (tRNA) molecules are approximately 80 nucleotides in length. Their secondary structure includes four short double-helical elements and three loops (D, anti-codon, and T loops). The record is from RNAcentral. Lineage: Eukaryota; Metazoa; Cnidaria; Anthozoa; Scleractinia; Acroporidae.